UUCCACAUGCGCCUUGCAGAUGGACUCUCAGGCAGCCCCUGCUGAUCAGCUUGGAGAAUGACAAACUCUCUGGCUUUGGAACUGACCCAUACUAUGCUGCUCCUGGCCGGCGCUGUGGGUGCCGCCGUUGGGGCUCACAGUCUCCACUACAACCUCACAGUGAGGUCCCAAGGUGGAUCAGUGCAAUCAAGGUCCUUCGCUGAGGGUUACUGGGACCAUCAGCUCUUCCUUCAGUAUGAUAGUGACAAUCAAGGAAGUGCAGAGCCCUGGGGGCCAUGGGCAGAAAAACCUCUGGGAACUGAGAACUGGAACACAGAGAUGCAGGACUUGGCAGAGCACAUCAAGAAGUUAAAAAUGACCCUGGCAGAUAUCAAUGCCUGGCAGGAGCAGAAAGGAGGAUCUCAUUCCCUCCAGGAGAUUUGGGGCUGUGAGAUGCAAGAGGACAACUGCACCAGAGGCUUCUGGAAUUUCCACUAUGAUGGGGAACUCUUCAUCUCCUAUAAUCCAGAGACACACAGUUGGAUGGUGCACCCAUCAUCCACUCAGACCUUGGCUAUGAAAGUCAAGAAUUCCUGGGAUGCAGAUGGCAUGCAAAGCAAGGAUUACUGGGUCCUUCUGCAGGAAGAGCUUUGUGGAAAACUCCAGAGAUAUCUAUUCUCCUGGAAGGGCUCCUCCCACUCCCCUGGAGCCUCUGCCCUGAAUACCUUGUGAGUUCUCAACUGGAUAGGUCAGUGACCAUGGUGGUGAGAGAGGAGAGACCUUGAAGCUCUGGUACCCAGAGUGUAACAAGCCUGUUUUCAGGGACUGGUCUGCUGCUUCAGAGUCGAAGGCCUGCCUGCCUAUGUGUAGCUGCUGGUGGUGUUGCUGUGAUUAUGAUUAUUGUUUGUGUCCUUUGGUGCAAGAAGAGGAAAACAACAUCAGCUACAGAAGAUUUCGGUUGUGAGAAUACAAGUCCUUCAUCAGCAUUAGAGGUCACCAAGUGACCACCUGGAACUGCUCAACUGGGGUUUCUGCCUCUGCUGAAAGCUCUGGAGCUUCUCAGGGAACUUAGACUUGCAGCCCUGCUCUGACCAGUACUUUCUCUCUUGCUGCCUUGGUUUCUCAUCUCUACAAUGUUAAAAGACAGGUUUAUUAACUUUGGAGUGGGUGGGAUUAAAAGGGUUAAUACGUUUGAGGUGCUUGCAGCUCUCAUGUACUAGUUAUCCUCAUUAUUUUAUUGUAUUUUAACAAAUUACUUAUAUAAUUAUUAUAUUUUAAUAAAUGAGAU
Sciurus carolinensis (gray squirrel) is the source of this 1267-nucleotide RNA transcript. It is a transcript of the gene named MHC class I polypeptide-related sequence B-like, with no coding region annotated. The transcript has 5 exons. The record is from RefSeq and is a predicted model, not a curated record. NCBI's taxonomy places the organism in Eukaryota, Metazoa, Chordata, Mammalia, Rodentia, Sciuridae.